GAUGAACGCUGGCGGCGUGCUUAAUACAUGCAAGUAGAACGCUAAAGGCGGAGCUUGCUCUUCUGGAUGAGUUGCGAACGGGUGAGUAACGCGUAGGUAACCUGCCUUGUAGCGGGGGAUAACUAUUGGAAACGAUAGCUAAUACCGCAUGACAACAGCUAUUGCAUGAUAACUGUUUAAAAGGUUCAACUGCUCCACUACCAGAUGCACCUGCGGUGUAUUAGCUAGUUGUUGAGGUAUAGGCUCACGAAGGCGAGGAAACAUAGUAGACCUGAGAGGGUGAGCAGCCGGCCUGGGACGGAGACACGGCACAGAGGCAUACGGGAGGCAGCAGGAGGGAAUCUGCGGCAAGGGACGGAAGUCAGACCGAGAUACGCCGAGUGAGGGAGGAAGGAUUUCGGAUCGGAAAUCUCGGUCGUAGGAGAAGAACGAGUGUGAGAGUGGAAAGUUCAGAGUGUGACGGUAUCUGACAAGAAAGGAACGGCUAACUACGUG
Molecule: ribosomal RNA, 495 nt
Filed under: uncultured bacterium
Lineage: Bacteria
Description: partial 16S ribosomal RNA
Rfam family: Bacterial small subunit ribosomal RNA
Source: RNAcentral